UUUCCGUAGGUGAACCUGCGGAAGGAUCAUUAGCGAGUAUGGCCCUCACGGGUCUAAUCCACCAUAAACACCUUUGUGAACCAGUCAGGGGGACUCGGCCGUGAAAGCCCAGGCGAUUAGCGGAAGGGCCCUCCUUUGCAAACCCGUUUAGAAGUCUUGAAAGUACUUUUGUAUAAUCUAGUAAAACUUAUAGCAACGGAUCUCUUGGCUCUCGCAUCGAUGAAGAACGCAGC
This 233-nucleotide unclassified non-coding RNA is filed under the name uncultured fungus. RNAcentral describes it as "sequence contains ITS1, 5.8S rRNA gene". The stretch from base 185 to 233 matches the Rfam family "5.8S ribosomal RNA", at positions 1 to 49 of the family's 154-position model. Lineage: Eukaryota; Fungi. The record is from RNAcentral.